CCAUCAAAAAUAAAUAAACAUUAAAAAUUUUAAAAGAGACCAUUGAGCAGGUUGCUUAAAAAGCAAAGAAUUGAGAGUCCAAACAAUGUCAAGUUUUGUGUCCUAUUUCAGUUUUAUAACUGUGUGAUCUUUGGCAAAUAUUAACAUCACCAAGUCUGUUUGUUUUAAUGAGAAAAAUAAGAAAAUUAUGAAAGUAAAAUGAAAUAGUCAAACUUGUUAAAAGAGUCUCCCCUACAUAUAAGAAUACUAAUUAAUUAUCACUUACUAUUGUUCUUUUGUAGAUUUUAUCGUUUAGCCUAGAUGUUAAGGUGCUCAAUAUACAGAAAAUGUAAAUUGAGAUUUUAGCUUUGAAAUUAAAGCAUAUAUUCACUUUCCCAGUUAUUUUACUCGAUUGCCUAUUUAGGAUCAAAUAAUGAUAAUGAUAAUAAUAGUAUCUGCAAUUUUCUUUGUAUGUGCUAGACUUUGUUUUAAGUAGUGUUCAAAUAUUUUCUCAUUUAUGACUCAACUUCAUAAAAAUCUAAUGACGAUAUUCUAUUUUGCCAAUAGGGGAAAUUAGGGUAACCAGCUAUCCAGCUUGGUUUGCCUUUGACUUAAGGGUUUCCUGUGACAUGGGUCUUUCAGUUUUAAAACCAGGAAAAUCUCAAGCAAACCAGGAUGGUUGGUUACCCAAGAACAGAGCAUCAGUGAGGAUAAUUAACGUGUCCAAUAUCAUAGACUUUUACUUGGAAAUUUGGGGUUUGAACCUUACUUGUCUGAUUUAAGGAAACCAUAUGCCUUAUUGCCUCUUUAUAAUAGACUCAUCCACAUUGUCUCUAUUCUUCUAAAAAAGUUUCCAUGUUAUAAAUCUCAGAAAGGAGCUGAAGAUAUAGUUGUGUUCUCAAUAUGGGUGAUACUACCCCUCUUCUAGAAAGCAUUUUUGAAAUCUGCAAAAGCAUUUGGGUUGCUACAGUUAUUGGAGGAACACCACUGAAAUUAGUGGGAUGGUGUCACAAAAUGAAAAAUUCUCCCAAUUUUAACAUAGCUCUGAAUGUCUUCUUAGUCAUUCAUAUAGUUACCCACUGAGUCCCAUAAACCACAAUUUUAAUAAAUUUGAGCAAAAUAGUAUUAAAUAAGAGACAUAAGAAAUGUAAUAAUGGUAAAAUUGCAAUACACUUAAAAAUUAUAACAUUAAAAAUACACAUUGUGAACAUUACGUAUUGAAAUGUUCACCUAGUUGGGGUUGCCUAUUUAUUUUAGUCUUCUGAAAUGUGUUCAGAGGAACUCACUUUCUAUACCUUCUUAGCUUACUUUUCCUUUCCAGCUCAUCUUCUGUUACCCUUCAUCAAUAUUUUCCUUUCAUUUUUUCAAGUUCUAGAAUCUGAAUAUAUGCUUGACAGGUAGUGAGAAUUCAGGAUAGAAGACUUGUUUACAUAACACACGCUAUGCCAUAACGUAUGGAAUCAUGAAGACACUCUCCUUAUCAAUAAGGUCAUUUAGGAUGACAUUAUAUUUCUUGGUUUCUCUACUUGGAAAGUUCUCAACUUGCUAUAACAUUUCUACUUUAAAUGAAGCUAUUUUUCCUCUUUCUGUUACCAUACAUAAGAAAGUCUGGUCCUUUAUUAACUUAUUAAAACAACAGUUUUUAUUCUAAUAUAAAUCUUUUUUUAUUGGCAUUACUUCUAAUACUAUUUUUCAUAAAAUGAGUAUGUGCAAAUAUGUGGCCACUUUAUUUUGUUUUCCGGUGUGGUGAUACCAGAGCAUUUAUAUAUUAAAGUUCAUUUAAUUUAAUUAUACAUUAUUUUUCUUUUAGCCCCCAUUAUAUUACAGAGGACAUUACUAUUGUUAUAAAAUUAUGUAUAUGUGUAGCAUAUAUUAUCUUUUAAUUUAAUUUUAGAAUAAUAGAUUUGGCAUUAUAGUAUGGUUUUUAAAGGAGUCAUUGAGUCAGACAGGGUUGAGAACACUGCAAAGGAAACAGAUUAUUUUCAAAUAAUAAUGGUUUCUAAGAAGCAGAUGAACUUGACGUAAUCACCUUUUUUUCUUCUGUGAUGACCAAGUUUAAUUUAAAUUUUCGGAAUUCCAUUUAAAUAUGAAAAUAUAUUCUUGACCACCUAAAACUUAAGAUACAUUUCACAGGGAGGUUUUCAAAUUUUGAGACACAGCAAAACCUGGUCUCUGAGUGCGCCAUAGAAAAACACUUUUGGAGCCAAUUGGCAAGGAUUGUGUGAAAGGAAGUGUGGAUAAGCUACAGCUAUAAAGGUUUACAGAAUCUUGUUAAAAGAGAAGGAGAAGGCAAGAGAACAAAGACCAUGAUCCUAGGGAAUGAAUCUCUGAGGAAUAGUAGAAAUAAUGAGGCAUAUAUGUGUGUAAAAUAAUACUAUGGAAAAGAUUAAGAAACAAGAAAAAACUAAAUUUGGAAUUCACAUUUUUAAGAGAGUGAGCUGUGAUUUAUUGAGUGUUCACUGAAAGAGUAUUAUUUGGUGAUAGAGAAGGUUAUAAUUUAGAAUAUAAUGAAGUCCAUUGCCCAAAGAAACACUUGUAAAAUAUUGUUUGUUUUUUCUAAUUCCUUCAAUAGAAAAAAAUUUACCCUCCCACUCUGAUUUAGCUAAGUUCCAGGAAAUAUCAGUAAGAAUUUACUAAGAAAUCUUUCAAGGUCUUUUCUAUUAAGAGUAAUAAAUAUUAUCUAAUGAGUACUCAUUUUGUGCUAGACAUACUGGCUAAGAGUUUUACAUGUAACGUUCUUUAUUCCUUUCAGUGACCCAUGUUAAGAAUUGUUUUCCUACGUUAUAGAGGACAAAACUGAACCUAAACAAAGAUUUUGACCAUGUCAGAGAAUUAUGUGCUGCAGUAGAAUUCAAAUACUGACAUAACCUUAUUAUUUCUUUGAUUAUUUAUUUAAUUUAUAAAUUCUAUAUAUAUGCUCAAAGUAGGCUGUGUCUAAAAAUGACAACGAUAGAUUUAAACACUAUGAUAAAUUUUACUGACAUUAAGCAAAAUUCAGCCUGCUAUUUAUAAAUUAACUCCCACAAUUAUGGAACUUGACCAAACAUAUCUCCAAAAUAGCUCAACUCGGGAUUUCUCCAUUCUCUUCCUCUUUUCUCCUACUUUGUGCCACAUACAUUAAUACAGAUCCUUUUACUUGACCUUGUAUCACCAGUGACACCAUCAUGUACCAAAUUUGCUUUUUUUAAAAAUUUUUUUAAUGUUUAUUUAUUAUUGAGAGACAGAGCAUGAAAAGAGGAGGGGCAGAGAGAGAGGGAGACACAGAAUCGGAAGCAGACUCCAGGCUCUGAGCUGUCACCACAGAGCCCAACACGGGGCUCGAACUCUCAAACCGCGAGAUCAUGACCUGAGGCAAAGUCGGAUGCUUAACCGACUGAGCCACCCAGGUGCCUCCUAAAUUUGCUUAUUUGAAAUAAUUGAUAUUUGCCCUCUGUCCAUUUUAUUUUUUGACCAAUUAGCUUAUUCAGCAAUUAUUCACAAACUGCAUCCAGUUUUUGUUUGUUUGCCAUCAUAUACUAUUUGGAUCUUUCUUUUAAAUUCUCUUGAAUUUGACUUAAGUCCGGUUAUUGACUUAUUACACAUUAUCAUAACACCAUACUUGAGCUCCUGCAUUGAUGCUCUGCCUGGACUUAUCAUCUUUACAGAUUUUUCCACCUCCACUAAUACACAUGUCUCUGCCAUAAGAAGCAACACUCUAUGUCACAAAUCUAGUUAUUUUUCUUCGUUGCAUUAAAGCUUAUAGUGGUUUUUUAUUGCUUUUGGGAUGAGGUUGAAAUUCUUUCUUAUGACAUUCAAUGCUUGUACUUGUUGAUCCAAGUUCAGCACAUCCCUGCCUAGACUCCUCCUAACACACCCUGUAUGAUAAAUUCUUAAUUAUAUAUUUUCCCUAAAUGUGCCACAUUUUCCCACAUAUUCCUGUUUUACCUUACUUAUUUCUUCUAUCUCCCCAACCCCCACACAAAGGCUUUAAGACCCAGUUCAAAUUAACUACUCUGCAAAAUCUUCAGUCUCUCCUGUUUAAAUUGGUUGCCACUCUCUUCUAUAUUCCUUCAGUCAAUUUAUAUCAUUGUCUUUUUUCACAUUGGUUCGUAUUUCUUUUGUUUGCGUGUGUGACUCUUCUUUCAGUGUGUGAGUGCCUCCGUUGCUCUUCCAGACAGUGACUCAAACUGUGUAAACAUUUCCUUAAGUAAAGCCAGCUCUUUAUUACAUAAGCUGAUAAACUUUUACUUUGAAGAUAGUGUCAGUGCAAUAGACAUCUGUAUUUUUAAACUUUGUAAUCUAGAAAGAUUAAUAUUGAAACCAGUAUGUAUCCUUUGGCAAAAUUAAAUCUUCAAUUUUAAGAAAUAUCUGUGUCUCCUUAAUAUGUUACCAUUGAAGCUCUCUGUUCCUGGGAGACUCAAAAUAUUUGAAUCCUAUGAGAUGAAGCAGCCAACACACUGGAGAGGUGAAGAUCUGAUUGGAAUAAAAGACCAAGUUUAUUGGGACUAUUUUUACCUUUGGAUCAGGAAUUUGAAUUCUCUCCAAACUUUUGGAAUAUAUGGUUAGUUGAGGUGGUUAAUUUUAAAGGAAAUCAACAAUCUCUUCCAACAGUAGUACACUUUUUGUAUUCUAGCUCUCAGAGUUGACAGGUAUGAAGGGGAAUUACAUUUACUUGUGAUAGAUUUAAGAAAUUAAUAAUUCACCCAUGGAAACUAUAAAAUAUCUAUAUCUGUUUUGUAAAAUACAUUAUGUUUCUGGAACAGUGUACAAAGGGGGUUUCAACGUUUUUUGCGUAGUGUUAUAGAUAGUUCUUGCUGAAUUUAGGGGUAAUAGUGAAAGAGAACUGAAAAACAAUGGUCAAAGUGGACUAAUUUUAUAACAAACAUAAAAGUGAGAGGCAAGACAGAGGUGGAGUUAUCAGGAGUAAAGGAGUAGCAAGUGAGUGCAAAAUAGGAAUUUGCAAUUGAAGGGGGAAUAGCCUACAUAAACACAGGUAUCAUCUGAGGGUAUCAGGAUUGAAAAACAGCAAGCAUAUAACAUUGUCUUAAAGGGGGAUUGCCUAUUCAAUUGCUCUCACCUAUCUGAAAAACAGUUUCUUUAUUUCUUCUUGGCCAGUAUUUCACAGUAGACUUUCAGAAUUUAACUUCUAAUCUACCUUACCAGCUAUGACUGGUCUCAUGGACUGGUCUCAUGGUUUAAUCACUUUGAAUCAUUCAAUAUUUCUCAAACAUGCCAAAUGCCAAAUUCCUCUUGCCUUUACUCAUCCUGUUUACCCGCCUGGUGGGGGUGAUUCUCCCCUAUUUUUCACUAUAAAAUACUUAACAUUCCUUCAAGGUUAAGUUCAAAUCCAUUACUACUAUGAAAACUGACCAACCUCUCCACCCAAAAUUAACCUCUGUCUACUCUGAAUCCCUAUAGCAUUUUACUACUAUCUAUUCUCACAUAUCUUGCUCCCUUCUUUGAUCUCCGUUAUCUUUUGAGAGCAAGUGCCGUGAUUUAUUCCACAAAGUCCCAUAGUGAAGACUUGAACUUCAGGCCUAUCUUAGGAAUUCAAUAGUAUCAAGCUACUACUCACCAAGAGUUAGUUUUAGGCACUAGAUAGAUAUCAAAUAGUGAAGUUGAGUAGGCAAUUAGCUAUAAAAGUUAGAAGUUUAUGUGAGAUGUCUAGGCUAGAAAUAAUAAAUUUGUGAAUCAUGAUUUUAGAUGUUAUUUAAUUUCAUGAGGCUGAAUGAGAUUAUCUAGGAAGAGAAGGCAUCUGAAGUUUGUGCCCAUUUAUAGAGGACAUGAGGACAAGAAGGAUCUACAAAACAAAACAAACAAAAACACUAACAAAGAAAUAGAGGGACAACCAAGAAAGAAUAAUGUCCAGGAAUCAUGAGGGGAGUGUCCAAUGUUGUCAAUGGUUGUUAAGUGAGAUGGGAGCUAAAAAUUGAUCAAGAUGUGACAAUCUGGUAGUCUAUUGGCAACCUUGACAAAGGUCUUUCAAUAGAUUGAUAGAGCUGGUUGCCUGAUUUGAGUCGGAGAGUGGGAGGAGGGAAAGUAUUGACACCAAAUGUAGGCAAUUGUAUGCUAUAAAAGGACCAAGAAUGGUAACAACAAAAGCAGUGGAUAACCAAAUGAUAGUAACCAAAUUGUAUUUUAAUGUUUUUUAAAGGUCCUUAUAUCAUAGGGCAGCAUUGGAUACAGAUUUAGAAUCAAACAAAAUGGUAUUUAUCAUUGAUAUGCUAUAUUCUCAAGAAUGAUAUGUCAAGAGAAAAUAAUGUACAUGUUUUUAUUCUUUGUUGCUUAUCGUGGUGAUUUAAUAAAGUACUUCAUAAAUGUAUAUUGACUCUUUGUGUGGAUAACAGAUGGAUGUGCUGAUAAAUAAAAAGUGAACCUUAUGCAUAUAGUUAUGUAAGGUAUUUUCCCCAGCUGCCAAAUAUGACUGAAAUGUCCUAAAACUAGACAAAUAUAUAUAUCUUAAACACAUGAAAUAUUGGGCUUUAGGAAUAAAGAGAAAGCUUUCUCUCUUUAAAAGGUUUAAAAACCUUACACAGUAUAAAAACUCCCAUUAUUGGAGGGAUUCCCAGGAUCUUGAAAAACUGUAAAUUUGGGGAAAAUUUUAUCAGAACCCUCCAUCUUGGCACAAUUAUUUUAUCCUUUGCCAUCACUCUGUAGUUCUUUAGCUUCUGGAAAUUUCUCCCUCUAAUUUUUCAUAACUACAAGGGUUAUGUGCUCCUCUUUUCUGUGUCCCAUUCAUAUAGGAAUUUAUUUGCUUUUAGGUAACACUGAAGUCUAGUAAGUCAUGUUAUUGUUAUCAUCCAUCACCAGCACUUGGAAAACAUUCUUACUUUGCUUGGAAUCAGAAACCUGCUCUGGGACUUUUACCACCACUCAUGUGGAUGUCCUACUCAGCCUGCUCCGGAUGAAACUCUCCAAAUUAGAAGAACAUUUUUUAAAAAUUACACAGGAAAAAAGUUGACCAAGAUGGUGACAUAAGGAAACUCCUGAGCUCCCUUCCUUCCAUAGACACGCUGAAUGUACAGCUACAUGUGGAGAAAUUCCCUCUGAAAGGGGAAACUAGCUGAACCACUCAUAAACAUCAAAUGAACGAGGAAAUACCCACUUUGAACCAGGUAGGAAAGACUGAGACAAACUCUCACGGUAAACUCCACCCACAAUACAGUGAUAUGGAAUCCUGAGGGAACUCCCAAUUUCCAACUACUCCCUGAGGAGUGAAGAACUUGGACUCACAUCUAGACCCCCAGCUUGUAAGUCUCUCCCCUAAGGGACAGGUUCCCAAAUACCUAGCUCUAAAAGCCAAAAAGACUCAUGUCAGGGUCAAGGGGGGGCUGGACACAUAAGACUAUAUACAACAAAAGCAACUCUUAAUGAGUGUGCUAACACAUCACAGCUAUCUCCCCAGGGCUCAGUGCAGAGGCAGCAGGCAAAACCACCCAACGCCCAGGCUUUCCCUGAAAGGAGUUUAUCUGAAUGCUUUACAAACUGUUGCCAGAGGGCUAGACUUCUAAUUUAGCAAAAACUGGGAGCUGGCUGUGAUACUCCUCAAAGACCAGGGGAGCCAGCAGAUAGCUCUCUGGUCCUCUCUCCCCAGCUUACUCCAGUAAUAAAACGAAGUCACCGGUUAUUUCCCUGGAAGGAGCUAGUACACACAUCUGGUGCUCCAGCUUCUGCUACUGCCACCUGAACUGCAUGCCCCCAGAUCUUCCGGCUCCAGUAGCCAAAGGGGCUGGCAUUAGCAAGUCUCACAGGACCAUAGCAAACAGAGGACCAGUUCUAAAUGGCCACAGGUGUCCCUUCCCCAUUUCCACCCCACCACUCCACAGCUGUACACCUGGGCCCAGCACAGAGGGAGCAAAAAAGUUUAUUUCCUGCUUUUUCUUUGGAAAGGACAUAACUAUAUAUUUUCCUACCAUAUUUAUCCCAUCUGGGAGAGACAGUGAUCCUCCUCUUUGGGACACUGAUGAGUCUGGGCAUAUCCCAAACUCCUGAGAGGCACCAAGUACAAAAAUGGUGGCUCGCAACACAAACGUUUGAGAGAAAACAGAGCUCUGUACAGGCUGAUUGAUGAGUUCAUCUCCUACACAAGACUGCUCUGUGAGGGCUGGGAGAGCUGGCUGUUUUAUCUAAUGUGUAGAAAGCGACACAGAGCGUCAAGGAAAAUGAAGAAUAUGUUCCAAAUAAGAGGACGAGAUAAAUAUCCAGAAACAAAUCUUUUUUUAUUUUUUAUUUAAGUUCAAGUUAAUUAGCAUAUCCUGUAAUAUUAAUUUCAAGUGUGAAAUAUAGUCAUUCAACAUUUCACACAAUACCAGAUGCCCAUCAUAAUGAGUGUACUCCUUAAUCCCCAUCACCUAUUAAGCCCUUCCCCCCAUUCCCUCCUGUCUGGUAACCAUCAGUUUGUUCUCUGUAGUUAAGAAUCUGUUUUUUUGUUUGCCUCUCUCUUUCUCUCUCUUUUUUCCCUCUGCUCAAUUUGUUUUGUUUCUUAAAUUCCACAUAUGAGUGAAAUCAUAUGGUAUUUUUCUUUCUCUGACUUAUUCCAGAAACAGAUCUUAAUGAAACAGAGAUAAGUGAUUACCUGAUAGAGGGUUCAAAAUAAAGGUUAUAAAGAUGCUCACCAAGGCCAGGAGAGCAAUGUAUGUAUGAACGAAAUGAGAAUUUCAACAAGAGAAGAAAAUACACAAAUGUCCUAAACAGAGCUGAAGAAUAUAAAACCAAAAUAAAGUCCCCUGCUAUUAUUGUAUUUGUCUGUCUCUCCCCUCAGAUCUGUUAAUAAUUGCUUCAUAUUUUUAGGUGUUGGGGACAUAAAUAUUUACAAAUGUUAUAACCUCUUGAUGAAUUAAUGCCUGAAAUGAAACAACCUAAGUGUCCUUUGACACAUGAAGGACAAAGAAAAUGUGGUAUAUCUAUAUACACAAUGGAAUACUAUUCAGCCUUUAAAAAGAAGGAAAUCCUGUCACGUGUGAAACAUUGGUGAACCUGGAAGGCAUUAUGCUAAAUGAAAUGAACCAGAGAAUAACAAAUACUUCAUGGUAUCGCUUAUAUGUGGAAUUAAAAAAAAAGUUGAAUUCAUAGAAUCAGAGAGUGGUAAAGUGUUUGCCAGAGGCUGGAGUGAGGGAAAAUAGUGGGAAUUUAGUAAAAGGAUACGAACUUUUAGUUAUAAGAUGAAUAUGGUCUGAGUAUCGAAUGUAUAACAUAGUGACUAUAGUUGAUAGCACUGUAUUAUAUAAUUGAAAUUUGCUGAGAGUAGAGCUUAAAGGCUCUCAUACACAUAAAAAGCUAACUAUGGAGGUUAUGGAUGUGUUAGUUAACUCCUUAUGGGGAAUCCUUUCACGAUGUUUACAUCUAUCAAAUUAUCACAUUGUACACUUUCAAUAGCUUACAAUUAUAUUUGUCACUUACACUUCAACAAAGAAAAAAAUUACACUGGAGAUAGGAUAAAAUGUCUCAUAAUAAUCUCAAAUAGACAUUUAGCAUUUUCCAUAUGAUAAUUAAUUAGCAAAUUAGUUUCUAACAUGUAGAAUUUUUCCAACCAAAUUUCUCAUUAACCUCUAAAUUGCCAAACUAAUUGUUGAAAAUUGAACCUAAGAAAGACAAAUUUAAUCUUCAAAUGAAAAGUAAUUUUUCCAACAAUGUGAAUUUUGAUGAGCUCUGUAUGCAGCAUGCUUCAAUUUAUCUUCCUGAUUAGCCAUAUUCCAAAUUAAAUUAAAGCACUGAGUUUGUAGAAUUGGUUAUUUUGCUUUUUUCUAAAAUGCUUACCAAUUGAAGCAUGUGCUAUGGAUGGAAAAAGGGCUUUCCUCAUAUAAAGUCUAAUGUAUAAGGUUAAGGAGUCAGAAAUGUCGUUUUAUAAGCAGUUAUACUUUAUUCAAAUUUAAGGAGAUUUAAAUAAUAGUUGGUGAUAUGUGUUUGACAUUAUACUACUCAAAUCCAAAUAGACAACAGCAAAAAAUACUAUAAAAAGAGAAGAUAUACCCUGAGGAAGGGUAGACAACACAAUGAUACUUACCAAAGAGAAAUAUAUUCUUUUUAGAGGCAUAAUUCUUGGUCUCAGGGUGUGAAAAUUAAUAGAUUUCUACUUAAAUAUGAGUUUCAGUGAUAUGCUGUAGGGGAAGUUAUCAGUGAAUCUCAGAAACUUAUGUGAUUAUUAAUGUUUUGAAAAUGCAUAGAAAGUUGAUUUUAUGCAUAAAAAUUCACUUAGUAAACAAAUUCCUUAAAUUUUAAAACUAUCAAUGAAAUAAAGUUUUAUUUCAGCAAAGUGAAGUUCUCAGGACCUGCUCUGUUGUGUCCAUAUUACAGAUAUCUGUGAAAGAGAUUUUACAAACAUGGAGGAAAUAUUCCCUAAUGUGUCUAGUGUAUUAGAGUUAUAUCACUCUACAGAGAAAUUUGGAAGGAUUUUCUCUUAAGAUAUAUUCCUGAAUUAAGGAAAAGAUCAAGCAAUAACAGAGCGGGGUGACUUAUUUUUUCCUACAUUAACCAUUUUCUGGCCAUUCAUUAUGGAGCUCCAUUGGAGACAUUCAUUAAUUAGUUACCAUGUUAUUCUGCAAGACAAAAUAGUAUAUAUAAGUUCUCUCUAACUGAGAAAGAAGAACUGAUAUAAAUAACUUCCUUUCAUUUAUCAUAGUUCUCAAAAAGUCCAUGCUAUUAUAAAGGGGUCUUGGUAUUGGUAAAAACAACAUAGUACUUUUUUUUUGCAUUUUAUGCAAGAACAAAGCUUUUUCACAGAAGUUUUAGCUACAUUUUGUAAAUGCAUUGUUUUAAAGAAAUAGUUAAAAACAGGUGAUAUCCACAGCUCCUCUCUUUGUAUGUAAAGAAGGUGUAAAGUAACUUGAAACUAAUAUAACACUGUAUGUUAACUAACUGAAACUAAAAUAAAGACUUCAAAAAUUUAAGAAAGAAUGUGUGAAGUAUAUAUAAGAGCAUUUAGUCAAUGUGCUAAGGAAACAACCCUAAAUGAUAAAAGCGUUUAUUGUGAAGUAUUCAAGUAAGCUCUCUACCUCAAGUAAUGAUCAUAUUUUUAAAGUCUUUAAUCUUUGUAAAGGCAUUAAAAUGAAAACUGGGGUGUUUUUUGAUUUUUGGCUUUUAUUUUGUUUUGUUUUGUUUUGUUUGUUUUGGUUUCAAGCAAGAUUUUCUUUCAGCAAGUAAAGAAUAUUCAGUCAACUUUGGCAUUGCCUUUAUUGAACAUUCUGUUUGGUUUAAUGUUUCAUAAUAUAAGGUGAUUAACGAGCUUUGAUGUAAAUUUAUGUUUUUCAUCCAAUGGUUUGCUUGGAUUUUUUUUAAAUGCAAUUUAGUAGCAUUUUCUUUGAGCUUAAAAAGAUAACUCAGAAAAACAUUAUCAAAAGAUCGGCUCAUCGUGUGUCACUGACUUGCUGAAUUACUGUCAUUCUUGUAUUCCCAUUUAUUUAGCAUCUGUGCUUGUCAGGCUGUCACUGGCAAUGUGUGAAAAUGCAAGGAAAAAAACAUGGCCAAUGAUCUUCGUAAACUCACAUUCAAGAGGCUUCCUGGUAUCAUAACAUGUUAUUAAUUAAACUAUUGACAGUUUGAAGAAAAAAUCAGUAUUUAUUAACACCUAGGCCUUAUUUUGACUUUAAAGAAUAAAGGAGUCUAAUUUA
This is a long non-coding RNA of Felis catus (domestic cat), 11564 nucleotides long. RefSeq lists it as uncharacterized. The transcript is spliced from 2 exons. The record is from RefSeq and is a predicted model, not a curated record. Lineage: Eukaryota; Metazoa; Chordata; Mammalia; Carnivora; Felidae.